GCGAAUGGCUCAUUUAAUCAGUUUUAGUUUUUUUGAUGGUACCUACUACUCGGAUAACCGUAGUAAUUCUAGAGCUAAUACGUGCGCAAAUCCCGACUUCUGAAAGGGACGUAUUUUUUUGAUUUAAGGCCGACCGAGCUUUGCUCGUCUUGCGGUGAAUCAUGAUAACUUCACGAAUCGCAUGGCCCUCGCGCCGGCGAUAUUUCAUUCAAAUUUCUGCCCUAUCAAUUUGCGAUGGUAGGAUAGAGGC
This 250-nucleotide ribosomal RNA is filed under the name Tetraselmis suecica. RNAcentral describes it as "partial 18S ribosomal RNA". It matches the Rfam family "Eukaryotic small subunit ribosomal RNA", at positions 89 to 340 of the family's 1831-position model. The record is from RNAcentral. Lineage: Eukaryota; Viridiplantae; Chlorophyta; Chlorodendrophyceae; Chlorodendrales; Chlorodendraceae.